CGGAGGGUGCAAGCGUUAUCCGGAAUCAUUGGGUUUAAAGGGUCCGCAGGCGGACUUAUAAGUCAGUGGUGAAAGCCUACAGCUUAACUGUAGAACUGCCAUUGAUACUGUAAGUCUUGAAUUCGGUCGAAGUGGGCGGAAUAUGACAUGUAGCGGUGAAAUGCUUAGAUAUGUCAUAGAACACCGAUAGCGAAGGCAGCUCACUAGGCCUGGAUUGACGCUCGUGGACGAAAGCGUGGGGAGCAAACAGGAUUAGAUACCCUGGUAGUCCACGCCGUAAACUAUCAAUACUCGUUCUCGGCGAUAUACGGUCGGGGACUAAGCGAAAGUGAUAAGUAUUGCACCUGGGGAGUACGAUCGCAAGGUUG
This 368-nucleotide ribosomal RNA is filed under the name uncultured organism. RNAcentral's name for it is "bacterial SSU rRNA". It matches the Rfam family "Bacterial small subunit ribosomal RNA", at positions 526 to 896 of the family's 1533-position model. The record is from RNAcentral.